GAUGAACGCUGGCGGCGUGCCUAAUACAUGCAAGUCGAGCGAACAGACGAGGAGCUUGCUCCUCUGACGUUAGCGGCGGACGGGUGAGUAACACGUGGAUAACCUACCUAUAAGACUGGGAUAACUUCGGGAAACCGGAGCUAAUACCGGAUAAUAUAUUGAACCGCAUGGUUCAAUAGUGAAAGACGGUUUUGCUGUCACUUAUAGAUGGAUCCGCGCCGCAUUAGCUAGUUGGUAAGGUAACGGCUUACCAAGGCAACGAUGCGUAGCCGACCUGAGAGGGUGAUCGGCCACACUGGAACUGAGACACGGUCCAGACUCCUACGGGAGGCAGCAGUAGGGAAUCUUCCGCAAUGGGCGAAAGCUUGACGGAGCAACGCCGCGUGAGUGAUGAAGGUCUUCGGAUCGUAAAACUCUGUUAUUAGGGAAGAACAAAUGUGUAAGUAACUAUGCACGUCUUGACGGUACCUAAGCAGAAAGCCACGGCUAACUACGG
This 496-nucleotide ribosomal RNA is filed under the name uncultured bacterium. RNAcentral describes it as "partial 16S ribosomal RNA". It matches the Rfam family "Bacterial small subunit ribosomal RNA", at positions 28 to 506 of the family's 1533-position model. The record is from RNAcentral.